Molecule: ribosomal RNA, 406 nt
Filed under: uncultured bacterium
Lineage: Bacteria
Description: partial 16S ribosomal RNA
Rfam family: Bacterial small subunit ribosomal RNA
Source: RNAcentral
GACGAACGCUGGCGGCGUGCUUAACACAUGCAAGUCGAACGAGUGGCGAACGGGUGAGUAAUACGUGAGUAACCUGCCCUCUUUUUGGGAUAAGCCUUGGAAACGGGGUCUAAUACCGGAUAAAGGGGGAUGGGCUCGCGUCCUAUCAGCGUGUUGGUGGGGUGAUGGCCUACCAAGGCGGUGACGGGUAGCCGGCCUGAGAGGGUGACCGGGCACAGUGGGACUGAGACACGUCCCAGAGUACUAAGUGUGGCAGCAGUGGGGGAUAUUGCACAAUGGGCGAAGGCGUGAUGCAGCGACGCCGCGUGGGGGAUGAAGGCUUUAGUGUUGUAAACCUCGUUCGCUAUCCAACGGUUAGGUGGAGAAGAAGCGCCGGCUAACUACGUGCCAGCCGCCGCGGUAAUUC